RNAcentral lists this long non-coding RNA (508 nucleotides) under Salmo salar (Atlantic salmon). Its description in RNAcentral is "lncRNA (ENSSSAG00000112559.1)". The record is from RNAcentral. Lineage: Eukaryota; Metazoa; Chordata; Actinopteri; Salmoniformes; Salmonidae.
AUCGGCAGGAAAAGCACUGAGACGGUUCAGACAAAUUCAGGGCCGUCACAACACACACACACAGAGCCGUAUCCUUCCCCCGCUUAACCACAUCAUCCAUCAGCUAUGCCUGAGCUGGUUUGCCUCUCAAUCUCACUCUAAUCAGCCCGGCUGCAGUGUUGAUGUGGGGUCAAGAAGAUGCCACUCCUGGAUUCCGUUCCGUUGCCUAGGAGUGCUGAGACCAUAUCUAUCUCUCCACAGAGCUAGCGCAGCACACAGCAUGCACAAACAAAAGACACCCCGCGUCGCCUUGGCAACUAUCAAGAGGUGUUGUCUCUGAAUGGAUUCACUUUUCCCUGUUUUUCUAUUUUCCUUUCACCAGCUUCAUGUGUCAGCUCUAAUCAAUAGCAGGAGCUGUCUUUGUUUGGCUCGUAGCCGACUGACUGAUUUGGGAGCUGUCUUGAAGGAGUUCCCACAUAUGCUGAGCACUUGUUGGCUGCUUUUCCUUCACUCUGCGGUUCCAACUCAU